RNAcentral lists this ribosomal RNA (335 nucleotides) under Diplocentrus keyserlingii. RNAcentral describes it as "partial 12S ribosomal RNA". Lineage: Eukaryota; Metazoa; Arthropoda; Arachnida; Scorpiones; Diplocentridae. The record is from RNAcentral.
UAAAAUUUUAUAAAUUAGGUAGUAAAGAAAUUUCUGAAACCUAAAGAAUUUGGCGGUGUUUUAAAUAAUUGGAGGAAUCUGUUAUUUAAUUGAUAAUCCACAACAAAUCUUUCCUUAUUUUUGUUUGUAUAUCAUCAUUUAGAGAUAAUAUUUUAAAAUUAUAGUCAUAAUUAAUAAAAUUAUACAAAUUAGAUCAAGAUGCAGCAUAAUAUGGUUAUAAUGGAUUACAAUAUUAUUUAAAUAUAUACGAAUAAUAUAAAGAAAAUGUAUUUGAAGGAGGAUUCAAAAGUAAUUAGGAAAUAAUAUGUUCUUUUGAAUAAUAAUUUAAAACAUGC